ACCGCCGCUCUGAGGAACUUCCUGGGUAUAGGAGUCCCUGCUACCCGGGGGAACCCAGCCAUUUCAAUUUCUCCUGUUGUGAAUGAUCACCGCCUGCCUUCCUGGAGUUGAUUUCUAGACCUAGUUUUAUGCAUUUUCUGGGGACAGCAUCCGCUGUUUUUGAGAACACUCUUCUCUGUCUGCAGGUUACUACAAGAUAUUGAAUCUAGUUCCUUGUGCUGUACAGAAGAAAGUUGAUGUUCAUCUAUUUUCCUGCCAUUGUUUCAAUGCCCUGCCAUCACUGUCUUGAAACUCUUAAUCAUUUUGUCUUUGAACUUGUGUUUUGUGAGCGAAGCCCAAUGAGACAAUGGCACAUACUCGUGAACUGAGGAGAUAAGCACAAAAUUCAUGUACUCUAUUCUUUAUCACCUCAUUUGCAUGUAGCAUUAGUGAUGCCUUUUUUGAACAAGGGGUUUUGCAUUCUCAUUUUGCACUGGGCCAUGCAAAUUAUGAAUCUAGCCCUGACAAUAGCCCUCCUUCACCAGGCUCCAAUCCUGAAUAAAUGUCUAUCCUCUGAUCCUACCCUACUGUGAAUAUUACAUCUUCUACUGCAUAUAGUAUAAAUAUAUUAAAAUUGCCUGUUCAUGUAUCU
Molecule: long non-coding RNA, 631 nt
Organism: Camelus dromedarius (Arabian camel)
Lineage: Eukaryota; Metazoa; Chordata; Mammalia; Artiodactyla; Camelidae
Exons: 4
Source: RefSeq, a predicted model, not a curated record